Long non-coding RNA from Papaver somniferum (opium poppy), 1777 nucleotides. RefSeq lists it as uncharacterized. The record is from RefSeq and is a predicted model, not a curated record. The transcript is spliced from 3 exons. Lineage: Eukaryota; Viridiplantae; Streptophyta; Magnoliopsida; Ranunculales; Papaveraceae.
GCUUCUUCUUUCUUCUUCCCUGUUCUUUCUCUCUGUAAAUUUCGAGCUCAUAGAUUGAGCCUCUUCUGCCGAUUAAUUCUUAUAAACCUUGUUAGGUUGAUGAACUGAGUGAGGAGAUGAUGAUGAUGCUGUCGAUGGAGUUUUUGGAAGAAACAGAAGUUAGGGCUUCAGCUGAUUUUGAGGUUGUGUAGAACUGAUGAUGAUUUAGUGUUGCUGAUUGACGAAGAACAGAAGGGUUGUGAUAGAAUUGAUAAUCUGAAGUUGUUCCAAUGAUGAAUUAAAGCUAGGGUUUCAUGUUCUUCCCAAAUCAGGUAAUUUAGGGUUCUUUUGAAUUGAAGAUUAAAUCGAGUGUUUUUGAUUGAUUAAUUGGGUUAUUAAAUAUGGGUUUUAAUUAGGUAAGAAGUAGAAUUGUUUGUUUGAGUUCAUUUUUGAUUUCAUAGAGAAUUAGGAUUUCCUGAGUUAAUUUAGAGUCACUGAUUUUAGACUCAUUAGGAAAGAAGUUAAAUUAGGGAUUUUAAUGAAGUUCUGGAAUUGGGGGAAGAAUAAAGGAAUUCAGAGAACAUGAGUUGAUGAAAUCCAAGUUGCAGACAAAGAAGAGGUUGAAGUAAGGAUUGUAUUGAUAUUGAAAUGGUUGCUGAGUUGGUUUGAAUUGUGAUAAUGAUGAUGUUGGUGAAGUUGAGUUUUUGGUAGUGUUCUAGAUGGAUGUUAGGUGUUUGUGUUGGUGGAGGUAGUCUUAUCUGAGGUUGUAGAUCUGUUAAAGAAUGAGGAAUUGAAGGAUGUUCUUGAACUACAGAGUUGGUGGUUGUAUUGAAAUCGGGUGCUGAUGGAAUUUCCGUUGGUGGUGGUGGUUUAGUAAAGCGCAUGAAUUUGGAGAUGGUGUUGGUACCAGUUUGGCUACUGAUGCAGGACAUGGCAGGGUAGUUGAUGUUGAACUGGUAGGAGUUGCACAUAGUUUGUUAGGUGCAGGGAAGAGUCGGGUUGGUGAUGAAUUUGUGAAAGACACCAGUAGAGCAAAGAUUGUGCAGUGUUGAUGCAAUGGAAAUCGUAGUUGAGUAAGUAAGGCAGUCACAUAUAAUACCAAGAAGGUUGAGCAAGAUAAAUUGAUAUCAUUGUUGGAGGUUUUGGCUGGAGCUAAAGGUAUCUGAGCCGAGGUUAGAUUGUGGCGGAGUUGAGGAUGAAAUGGUUAUGUAAACUGAAUCUAGUGGGUCUGCAAUGUGAAGCUGGGUUGGUAAUGAUGUUGUUGUGAAGGUAAAGUGUGGGUUAAUCAAUACAAGGUUUUGGGUAUGGGGAUGUUAAAUCUGCAGGAUGAAGGUUUAAGUUACUAUAGCGGGUUACAUGAACUUUUGAGGUGAAGCCUGGUGCUUUUGUUAGUCUUUAUAAACAACGAUCGAUUCAAAGGAUGGACUAGUGGAUUGAGGAUCUCGAGGUAGGCGUGGCUUGUCAUCAAAUCAGUAAUCAUAAGAAAUGGAGCGUUUGAAGAUAUCAGUUUCGUAGCUUAGAGCUUUAUCGAAUCUAGUGUUGUUGUACAUCUUUUACUACAUGUAUUCUUUCUUAUUUGUAACCAGCACAUUAAUAUAUUUAUAUCACCGGAGAGAUUUUCAUUUAUACAAUAUUUAGAGAGUUUGGGUUUGUUUUUUAGCAUUUCAAGUAAUUAGGAUUCUUAAAAUCGGUAAUCUAGUUUUGAAGCUUCAAUUAGAUUGUAAUCCUAUUAGCUAAGCAGGUUUAUGAGUUGGGACGUCACAAGUUGGUAUCAGAUCUCAGUAAAAGCUUUGUAGUA